UCCCCACUGCUGCCUCCCGUUUUUACGGGAGGCAGCAGUGGGGAAUAUUGGACAAUGGGCGCAAGCCUGAUCCAGCCAUGCCGCGUGAGUGAUGAAGGCCUUAGGGUUGUAAAGCUCUUCACCAGUGAUGAUAAGACCUACUGUAGAAA
Molecule: ribosomal RNA, 149 nt
Filed under: uncultured Hyphomicrobiales bacterium
Lineage: Bacteria; Pseudomonadati; Pseudomonadota; Alphaproteobacteria; Hyphomicrobiales
Description: uncultured Rhizobiales bacterium partial 16S ribosomal RNA
Rfam family: Bacterial small subunit ribosomal RNA
Source: RNAcentral